UGUCCAGUCAUCUUUCAUUGUUACAUGACUUUGUGAUAAGCUUUAAUCACAUUACAAGGUGGUCUGCUGUUAGGUUACUGGUCCUGUUGAGUGGGCUGGCCAUGUGUCAUGUGCAUCCGAGUAAGAAGUUAUGAAGGAAUAACAAAAUCCUAUGUUAUUAACCCUAUGUCUAGACAAAGCUGGAGGUAAGAACAACAGCAGGAGGGACACAGACCAGCCUUGCAAUCAGAGUGUUUACAGAGAGACAGAGGACAGAAGGUUACAGCAGAAUGUGGCGUAACUGCAUCAGUAGUCAAGGGAAGAGCCAACGAUGUCAUCUAUCUGGACUUCAGUAAGACCUUUGACACAGUCCCCCAUAACAUCCUUCUCUCCAAAUUGGAAGGAUAUGGAUUUGACAAGUGGACUGUUCAGUGGAUGAAAAACUGGUUACGAGAUUGUACCCAGAGAGUUGUGUUCAGUGGCUCAAUGUCGGGAUGGAGACCAGUGGCAAGUGGUGUCCCUCAGGAGUCAGUACUGGGACUAGUGCUCUUUAACAUCUUCAUAAUGUCAUCAACAGUGGGAUCAAGUGUACUCUCAGCAAGGCUAUAGAUGAUACCAAGCUGUGUGAUGCAGUUGACACAUUCAAGGAACAGGAUGCCACCUGGAGAGACCUAUGUAGGCCCAAGCAGUGGGCCCAGGUGAACCUCAUGAGGUUCAAUAAAUUCAAAUGCAAGAUCUUGCACCUGCAUUGUGGCAAAUCCUGCUAUGGGAACAAGCUGGGGGAUAUAAGGAUGGUGCACAACCCUGCCAAAAAGGACUUGAGGUGGAUGGCAAGCUGGACAUAAGCCAGCAAUGUACCCUUGCAGCCCAGAAAGCUAACCAUAUCCUGAGCUGCAUGUACAGUCAACAAAUGUACAGUUGGAAGAGUAGCACAGUUAAGAUGGUACUUCACAGGUGUAUAGUUGGAAAGAUUAUCAUGGUGGAAAAGAGACAAUCAAAGAAGAAAUGCUCACCUGUAUCCAAGGAUCUAGGCUCACAGUGGAAAACUCCAAAAAGGAAAGAACUCCAGAAAGAGAUCCUUCCCCAGUGGCAGUCAGCCUUUAAAUGGGGUCUAGGAGAGGUGGAGCCCAGCUCCACCCCUUCCGGUCACACAGGUGAAUUGCCUUCACCUGUGCUCCCACAGCUGACUCAGUUCUUUCCUCAGGUGCUCAAUCAGUGGUUCAGGCCAUGACUCAACAGUUCCCAUACACUCCACCCCUUCAUAGCAUGAACCAAUAAUCGAGCAAGCUAGAGGGUGAGCCUUCCCUAAUAGAGAGAUCCAGAGACACCACGAUGCUUAUACAAUUGCCUGUCGCCAUGCAGGUUGACACAAUUUAAGAUGAUUGAUGAUCGGUGUGUGGUUGAGGUUCAUGUUCUUUCAUGGGCCAGUGCUUGGUGGUGUUACUGGAGGUAUGCAGUCAUGUGGUGUAGGUCCAUCCUAUGUUCCAUCAGUCCCACAUAGGCCAUCACCGGGUGUCGUGCUUGAUCCCACAGCAGCACUGGAACACUUCAAUGGUAUUUCGCUCCUUCUGUGAUCCUAGAGACUCAAAGACUCACAGAGAGUAAUACAGAUGUUUCAGGGGUACCAGGAGGGGAAGGUCUGCCCUCCAGGGCAAGAUACAGGCCAUAUUCCUAUCCUGGGUCAACACUUCAGCUUGUACUGGGGCAUGCCCCAGCCGCCUCUACCAAACUCUUCGGCCAGAUGUCUGCAGCUGCAUAACUGUAUCAAAGGGGGUGUCCUGAUCUGACAUAGGGACAUGAUGGGGGGGUCCCUUUAGCAACGAAGAUUGGAGUGUUGACCACAAUAUCCAUAGGCCAUGUACCCAUUACCGGAGGGACUACCGAGCUUCCCACCUCCAGUAAUCUCCUCCAAGGUAGGAGGAGAUUGUGCAAGAAGGGCACACCACUUCGGUCCUACCUGUACCUACCAAGGCCAUUUUACUCUAUGGGUACCUGGUUCUAAAUUCUCAGGGGUAGGGACCAGAAGGUUAUUUUCAUUGCCAAUCUGGGGUUUUACCCAAUUAUCAGUGCCUGUAAUUUGGAUCCUAAGCGGGGAGGCCCAUGUUGUCUGUAGCAUUUUCAGGGCACUGGGUCUGCCAUCUUUAGGUCUUUCGUUCAGGUCCCACAGGGUUUCAUAGAGUCCCUUUGUCCACCCGUGCAGGGACUGUGAAUCUCUCUUCAGGGCAGCCUUAUGAAUACCGUUACGAUGUUCAAUGAGUCCUGCCCCCGUUGGAUUAUAUGGCAGGUGGAAUCACCAUCCAGUGUUGUUUUCUUCUGCCCAGUGUUGUAUCACGGUACCAGUAAAAUGAGUUCCUUGGUCACUCUCGAUGACUUGAGGUGUCCUGGAGGCAGACAGGAGCUCAGUAAGUGCUUGAUGGUAUAUGCCUGGUUUGCUCUUGGCACUGGAUAGGUCUGCAGUAGCCCACUUGCGGUAUCGAUGCAGGUCAGGGCAUAUCUCACCCCCUCAUACUGAGGGAGGGGCCCAAUAUAAUUGACCUGUCAUCGCUGGAGAGGAUUGUGUCCUCUAGCAAGAUGGGCUGUUGUUGCGGGCAGCAAUCUCAGUCUCAUCUUGGAGCAAGCGUCACAGUCUCAGCAUGCCUGGGUGAUGUCAGAUAGUUGCAUGGGCAGCUCCCAUGCGUUAGCAGCUGCCCAUAUUGUCUUUUGUCCAGCAUGCCAUAGCUUCUGAUGUAAUCAAUGGGUGAUGUUCUCAGAUGGUGAAUCCUCAGUCCAUCAAACUUGGGUUGGUGUGUCCGCUUCGUCAUUUCCUGGUGAUUGUAAAGGUUGAUGACCAGAAACAUGUUAGACACAUACAGUCCUGUGUUUAACUGCAUUCCACAUGUCUAACCACAUAUCUCUGCCCAAGAUUGGUCGAGCAUGGAUAGUCCAUUCUUGGGUGGCCCACUGUGCAAUCCAAAGAGUGAGCCCCCAGUACACAGCCCAACUAUCUGUGCAGAUAUUCAGGACACCAUCACCGGGUUCCUUAGUUAUAACCAUCCACAUGGCUUGCAGUUCUGCCCAUUGGCUGCUCUGACCAUCCGCCUCUUCAAACCAGACUGUCUCAGUGGAGGGAUGGUAUGCUACUGCUCUCCACUAACUCAGGUUGCUCUUGCUGGACCCAUCUGUGUGCCAGGCAUCUUCAGGAAUGGGAUAUUUCCCCUCCUGAAUGGGACUCUUCUAUGGUGGAGCAACCAAUGUGUCUUUUGGUGCCUCACUGUGAUAUAUCACUGGGCCUACAAUCUUCUUGAGUUCUUUCAGUGGUGAUGAAGAUAGACUAUUCCUCUGGCUAAGAUAGGCGACCCAUCACACCACCGUUUAUGCUUGGCCACCCUCGUCUUAGGAAUGUGAGUCAGAUCUUUCAUCCACCCCUGAAUUGGCAGGGUGUUCUUAACUAUGGAUUUGUCAAUAAUCCUCACCCCAAGUUUUGGGGGAUGAUUUUGAAAUUUUUGAUCGUCCUUCAACUGCCUCCAUAGCUGGAGGAGGACAUGAUUGGGCUGGUGAUCAAUUUUCGCAAAUUGAACCCCAGCCCGGAUUAAGCCAUUAAACAUUUGUUAUCAGGAUACCCGUAUGGGUCCUGAUUGAGGAGUUCGUAGGGUGGGUCUCCUGGUUUUAGUUACUAGAAGGACCUCUGCCCCUUCCAAUGUUCAGAUACUGCACCUGGUCCAAAGGCGCUCUGUCUCCCCUAGAUCGGCUACCAGCUGGGCAGCCUGUUGAACCACGGACUCUGAGGCUACUAGGGAGUUUAGUAUGGAAACUAGAGUUCCAUACAGAUGGGAAGGAGCCUGUUGCAGGAUCAGGUCUCUCAUGCCUAUUGAGAAUUUUACCAGGUGUGGGCUUUGAAAUGCGUCUUUGUAUAUCACCUCUCUUAUACUCAGUUCGUGAAUAUAGUUUUGAAGGUCUUCUGUGAAGGACCAUAAACCUGUGUGUAAUAGUAUGUCAGAUUUAUUGGCCAAACCAUAUGGCAUGCUGCCAUCAACCAAUCUAUUAUCGAGUGAUUCUUGUUGGUAUACUGGACAGCAGCAUAUAGCCCCUAAGGGCAGGGUGAACAGUAAUAGAUGCCAAUUUACAGAUUUCUGACCCACUGACCGUAACACUUUCCAUCCAUGAAUCCCAUCAUCGGAGAAGCCAGGCUGGUACGCUUUCUCUGGGCUUCUGUCUGAAUCACUGUACCAAGUCCAUUAAUUCCAUGGCCAUAUAAGGACAGGCUAUUACAUGUAAAUGUAUUUGGGCAGGGGGCCACUGAUCAGGGGGCACCCCUGGUGAUCUAUCUUGUAUUUUGUUGUUGUUGUUGUUUUUUGAGUUACUAUAGGACAGAUCUCAAAGGAAUCCAUCGCAGAUAGAGCUUUGAGAUCUGAUUUGGAAGCUUUGUCUUCUGGAUCCACUAGGUUGAUCAAUUCAGGAACCUGCGUAUCAUCUACUGAAAUGUUAUGGACCUGUUUUAUUGGGAAAUUUAGACUUGAUUUUUUCCCCUGUCAGUAUACCAAGUUGUUGUUCAAGUUUCUCAAUCCGAUCUCAUAACAGUAGAUUUUCACUUUCUAAAGUAUUGGUUGUCAUUUCAGCCUGAUUUAAAGCAAUUAAUAGUGGCCAUGCCACAGUAGAAGCAGCUAGCUGAUGUUCUUUUGUAACUAAUAUCCCUUCGCUCAAUCCAUGAGAAUGAUCUGCCAUGUGGGUUGGGGAAGGAGUAUUUCCUGUAACCUGCAGGGAACUCCAUUCUUCAAUUAUAGUCACCAGUUCAUAGUAAGGUGAUCCCAGAAAUCCUUGGAUCUGUCUGGGAAUUGUUUUGUCUAGGAGGAAGUAAUGUUCUUCCCCGCUGAACAAUUUAAAGAUAUUCUAAAGGAAAUACUUUUUUGUUUUUUUGGCCUUCCUGGCUCACCAACUGUGUAUUUGGAAGAGUAGUACAGUGAGGAUGGUACUUUACAGGUGUUACAGUUGGAAGAAGUAUCAUGGUGGAAAAGAGACAAUCAAAGAAGAAACGCUCACCUGUAUCCAAGGAUCUAGGCUCACAAUAAAAAACUCCAAAUGGAGCAAUCUCCAGAAAGAGAUCCUUCCCC
RNAcentral lists this long non-coding RNA (5066 nucleotides) under Gallus gallus (chicken). Its description in RNAcentral is "lncRNA (ENSGALG00010001069.1)". Lineage: Eukaryota; Metazoa; Chordata; Aves; Galliformes; Phasianidae. The record is from RNAcentral.